AAAGAAACAAAAUUAGUGUUGCUGUUCUGUUUGAAGUUGCUUGUAUAACUGAAUCUCUGCUUAUAUAACAUCACACAAAAUAUAAAUAUAAAAAUUAUAUAACUAAAACACAAAAGAAAAUUACAAAAAAAAAUUUAUAAAAUUAAGUAACAAAAUUAAAAAAAAAAAAAACAAAAUUCACCGAUAAAACAACAAUAAUUCAAAAAGAAAAAUUUUAGAAACAAAAAGAGGAAUUCAAUCAAAAUAACGAAAAAAAAAAUUAAAAAAAAAAACUUUGAUAUAAAAAUUUUUUUUUUUUUGUUUUUAGCAAUUAUUUAAAAAAAAAAUCUGUGAAAACAAAAAACAAAAACAAUUUUAAUUUUUUAUACACUUUUAUUUUUUUUUCUUUGAACUGAAAUUUAAGAAAUAUUAAAAAAGAAGAUGCAAACAAAAAU
This is a long non-coding RNA of Condylostylus longicornis, 434 nucleotides long. RefSeq lists it as uncharacterized. Lineage: Eukaryota; Metazoa; Arthropoda; Insecta; Diptera; Dolichopodidae. The record is from RefSeq and is a predicted model, not a curated record. The transcript is spliced from 2 exons.